GCCUCGGUAGUGUAAUGGGAAGCAUGGCAGACCGGAUAUCUGUAAGUGCGGGUUCGAGUCCCGCCUGAGGUC
This is a non-coding RNA of Dictyocaulus viviparus (bovine lungworm), 72 nucleotides long. NCBI's taxonomy places the organism in Eukaryota, Metazoa, Nematoda, Chromadorea, Rhabditida, Metastrongylidae. The record is from Rfam.